RNAcentral lists this transfer RNA (81 nucleotides) under Trametes coccinea BRFM310. RNAcentral describes it as "Trametes coccinea (strain BRFM310) tRNA". It matches the Rfam family "tRNA". From Rfam's summary of the family: Transfer RNA (tRNA) molecules are approximately 80 nucleotides in length. Their secondary structure includes four short double-helical elements and three loops (D, anti-codon, and T loops). Further hydrogen bonds mediate the characteristic L-shaped molecular structure. tRNAs have two regions of fundamental functional importance: the anti-codon, which is responsible for specific mRNA codon recognition, and the 3' end, to which the tRNAs corresponding amino acid is attached (by aminoacyl-tRNA synthetases). tRNAs cope with the degeneracy of the genetic code in two manners: having more than one tRNA (with a specific anti-codon) for a particular amino acid; and 'wobble' base-pairing, i.e. permitting non-standard base-pairing at the 3rd anti-codon position. The record is from Rfam by way of RNAcentral. Lineage: Eukaryota; Fungi; Basidiomycota; Agaricomycetes; Polyporales; Polyporaceae.
GGCGCUAUAGUGUAGUGGUUAUCACUUGGGAUUCUGAUCAACAGUGUUCCCAAAACCCAGGUUCGAGCCCUGGUAGCGCCU